This 333-nucleotide ribosomal RNA is filed under the name uncultured eukaryote. RNAcentral's name for it is "partial 18S ribosomal RNA". It matches the Rfam family "Eukaryotic small subunit ribosomal RNA", at positions 1470 to 1796 of the family's 1831-position model. The record is from RNAcentral.
CCCUUAGAUGUUCUGGGCUGCACGCGCGCUACACUGAUACUUUCAGCGAGUCCACCACCUUGCCUGGGAAGGUGGGGUAACCUCUGGAAAGUGCAUCGUGAUGGGGAUCGAUUAUUGUAAUUAUUAAUCUUCAACGAGGAAUUCCUAGUAAGCAUGUGUCAUCAGCCCGUGCUGAUUACGUCCCUGCCCUUUGUACACACCGCCCGUCGCUACUACCGAUUGAACGGUUUAGUGAGGGCCUCGGAUUGGUCUCGGCCCGCUCUUUACCGGGCGGCGCCGUUGGUCGAGAAGACGCUCGAACUUGAUCGUUUAGAGGAAGUAAAAGUCGUAACA